GCUGGCGGCGUGUUCACACAUGCAAGAAGAACGAACCUUCGGGUUAGUGGCGGACGGGUGAGUAACUUUUGACAAUCUGCCCUCAGGAGGGGGAUAACGGUUGGAAACGACCGCUAAUACCCCAUAUGCCGAGAGGUGAAAAGAAAUUCGCCUGAGGAUGAGCUCGCGUCUGAUUAGCUAGUUGGUGUGGUAAUGGCGCACCAAGGCUUCGAUCAGUAGCUGGUCUGAGAGGAUGAUCAGCCACACUGGGACUGAGACACGGCCCAGACUCCUACGGGAGGCAGCAGUGGG
RNAcentral lists this ribosomal RNA (291 nucleotides) under uncultured bacterium. RNAcentral describes it as "partial 16S ribosomal RNA". It matches the Rfam family "Bacterial small subunit ribosomal RNA", at positions 35 to 358 of the family's 1533-position model. The record is from RNAcentral.